GAUCAUUAAAGAGUAAGGGUCAUUCGUGGCCCGACCUCCAACCCUUUGUUGUUAUAACUACCUCGUUGCUUUGGCGGGACCGCUCGGUCUCGAGCUGCCGGUCUUAGGCCCGGCAAGCGCCCGCCAGAGUCCAAUCAAACUCUUGUAUAUAACCGGUCGUCUGAGUUAAACUUUUAAUUAAAUUAAAACUUUCAACAACGGAUCUCUUGGUUCUCGCAUCGAUGAAGAACGCAGCGAAAUGCGAUAAGUAAUGUGAAUUGCAGAAUUCAGUGAAUCAUCGAAUCUUUGAACGCACAUUGCGCUCCCUGGUAUUCCGGGGAGCAUGCCUGUUCGAGCGUCAUUACACCACUCAAGCACUGCUUGGUAUUAGGCCUUCGUCCACCUCAGUGUGGGCGUGCCUCAAACACCUCGGCGGAGCCUCACCGGCUUUGGGCGUAGUAGAAUUUCUCAACGUCUUGCAAGUACCGGUUUGACUCCUUUGCCGUUAAACACCAAACUUUUUUUACAGGUUGACCUCGGAUCAGGUAGGGAUACCCGCUGAACUUAAGCAUAUCAAUAAGCGGAGGAAAAGAAACCAACAGGGAUUGCCCUAGUAACGGCGAGUGAAGCGGCAACAGCUCAAAUUUGAAAUCUGGCACUUGUGUCCGAGUUGUAAUUUGUAGAGGAUGCUUUUAGGCAGCCACCGGUCUAAGUUCCUUGGAACAGGACGUCAUAGAGGGUGAGAAUCCCGUAUGUGACCGGACAGGCACCUUCUGUAAAGCUCCUUCGACGAGUCGAGUUGUUUGGGAAUGCAGCUCUAAAUGGGAGGUAAAUUUCUUCUAAAGCUAAAUACCGGCGAGAGACCGAUAGCGCACAAGUAGAGUGAUCGAAAGAUGAAAAGCACUUUGGAAAGAGAGUUAAAAAGCACGUGAAAUUGUUGAAAGGGAAGCGCUUGCAAUCAGACUUGUCCUCGGGUGUUCCGCCGGUCUUCUGACCGGUUCACUCAUUCGGGGACAGGCCAGCAUCACUUUCGGCGGCCGGAUAAAGGCACUGGGAAUGUAGCUCAACCUUCGGGGGGAGUGUUAUAGCCCGGUGUGUAAUACGGCCAGCCGGGAGUGAGGUCCGCGCU
This 1108-nucleotide ribosomal RNA is filed under the name fungal sp. ARIZ AZ0958. Its description in RNAcentral is "eukaryotic LSU rRNA". The stretch from base 511 to 1108 matches the Rfam family "Eukaryotic large subunit ribosomal RNA", at positions 1 to 606 of the family's 3401-position model. Lineage: Eukaryota; Fungi. The record is from RNAcentral.